RNAcentral lists this ribosomal RNA (252 nucleotides) under uncultured bacterium. RNAcentral's name for it is "partial 16S ribosomal RNA". It matches the Rfam family "Bacterial small subunit ribosomal RNA", at positions 524 to 776 of the family's 1533-position model. The record is from RNAcentral.
UACGGGGGGGCAAGCGUUGUUCGGGAUUACUGGGCGUAAAGGGCUCGUAGGCGGCCAACUAAGUCAUACGUGAAAUCCCUCGGCUUAACCGGGGAACUGCGUCUGAUACUGGAUGGCUUGAGUUCGGGAGAGGGAUGCGGAAUUCCAGGUGUAGCGGUGAAAUGCGUAGAUAUCUGGAGGAACACCGGUGGCGAAGGCGGCAUCCUGGACCGAUACUGACGCUGAGGAGCGAAAGCCAGGGGAGCAAACGGG